RNAcentral lists this unclassified non-coding RNA (380 nucleotides) under soil metagenome. Its description in RNAcentral is "partial contains 5.8S ribosomal RNA, internal transcribed spacer 2, and large subunit ribosomal RNA". The stretch from base 1 to 120 matches the Rfam family "5.8S ribosomal RNA", at positions 35 to 154 of the family's 154-position model. The record is from RNAcentral.
GAUGAAGAACGUAGCGAAAUGCGAUAAGUAAUGUGAAUUGCAGAAUUCAGUGAAUCAUCGAAUCUUUGAACGCACCUUGCAGCCUUUGGCAUUCUGAAGGGUAUGCUCGUUUGAGUGUCAUUGUACUCUCACACUCCCGAUCUUUGCAUUGGGAGCAGUGGACUUGGGUUUGCUGCUUCACCGUCGCUUACCUCAAAUAGGUUAGUGCAACUCUUGGUUGGACAUAGUACGGCGUGAUAAGUGUUCUUCGCCGGUGCCUCGCAAAGAGGGUGGCCGAUCGGGAUGUUGUGCUCCAAACCGUCUUCGGACAAUCUCUGACGACUUGACCUCAAAUCGAGUAAGACUACCCGCUGAACUUAAGCAUAUCAAUAAGCGGAGGA